UUCGCUUCUUCCUCUCUCUUAUUCUAUGAUUCUAUUCAACAUUAUUCUUCGUGGCUGCAAACGUCGAAUGUGGGUGAAGUGUGUUUUCGUCUGUGUUUAUUUUAUGACUAUGGAAGUGGUUAGUUAUUUCUUUUCUCUUUUUCUGGAUUUUCUUAUAGUUUUUUUAGUCAGUAUUCAAGCAAGUCCAGCCUGGCAGAGAAACAAUCACAUCGUUUUUCCGAACUCGCUAGAAGAGCAUGAAACUUUCAUUGCUCCAAAGUGUAGCGGUAACAAAACAUUUUGUGAGGACGUCGGACAUUACCCCAAAAAUAAAUUUAGCGUAAUAUUAGAAAACACCACAUACGGGGAAGAUUAUUUCAUGCCGCAAAGCACCGCCGAGGAAGAAUCUAUCAAAAAUCGAUUGUACGGAGUAACUGAAUAUUACAUCUGCAAUUCUCACGUCCAAACGCAAUAUCCCAAAGUGGCGCAAAACGUCAGAAACGAGUGGAAAUAUGUUUACAAUUUUGAUAACUACAAGCAAGGCGUAAGGACAGAAGAAUGUGUAGCUGAAACAGCUUGCAGAUCAUUCCAGGGAACGCCGCGGGAAGUUAGGACGAAGUGUAUGCAAAAGUACAGCGAUAUGUUGCUGUUGGUUGCCGAUGAAUACGGAAAACCUGUGUGGGAUUUAUUCUGGUUUCCUUCCGCCUGUGUCUGUGCAUACGAACCAAUUAUUAAUUUUAACCGAGUUUAGGAGAGUUUGCUGACAACUAAUUUUCCUUAAAUUGCGAUCAAUAGACGUGUCUUUGAAGCUGAAAUGUUAUACCAUUUCCCGGUACAAUAAAACUUUGAUUCUAUACAUUCGUUUUUUUUUUCCACCUUUUCUAAUGAAAUAAAAGUAAACAUGAGUUUUGAUGUCACGGCGACCUGUAAAUUCUUGUGAAAGAAUUUCGUAGUCGAAUACCCUUCGGAGCCGGUCUCCUGCUGUUAGUGAAAAUGAUGGUCAAGGUGGUGGACGGUAAGUAUCAUUAACUCUUAAUCCUUUGCUGUUAGUGUCAGAUGUACCUGUUCAGAAGACAGUACACAACCUUCAGUGGCAGUGGAAGAAAUGUGGGUUUUUGUGUUGGUUUUUGCCGUUUUCAAAGAGGUAGGAAUAUAUCUUGUGAAGCGCUGUGUGAUUAAGCUGUUACAAGUUUGAUUAAUAAAUUGAUUUUUAGUUGGGCAUUCAAGCCAUGUCAUUUAAUCCAGCCAAGAUGGGUAAGUUUAGCAAGCGUUAAUCAGUGUAAACUAAUCUCAGAGAAUAUAACAGAAUAACACAAAGUUUUUUAAUGAAGACACUCUAAUUUUUUCUCUCAUUCGUCUUCUAAUUGUAUGAUCGCAAGGGUUUGACCUUUCCGGAUUCGAGUGAAAUUGGGGGUGAUUUUUUGUACGAGACGGUGGUCCCCAACUGCCAAAAUCACACGUACUGUGAACACUUGGACCGCUACCCUAAAGAACUAUUUUCCAAAAUAUUAAAAAGCCACGAAAAGGAGUUUUCUCGGUACUUUCAGAGUAUGGCAGUAAUAGAGCCCAUUAUAAGUAGGAACCAAGACACUUCCUGUAUUUGUGCAUCACGCAAAAGUAUUAUAUACCCAAAAGCGGCAUAUAAUAUAAAAAAUAAUCUGAAAUUUAUCUACAACUUCGAUGGAUACAAACAAGGAGUGUCCGUAGAGGUCUGCGUGAUGUAAGUUUUUUAAAUUUUAUUGUGAAUAAGGACGGACUUUAGUACGUGUUUUAGAAAAAAUCAAAUGUGCAAAUUUUACGAGAAGGUGAGAAAGUUAAAAACAAGGUGUCGACAAAAGUUCGUCGAAAAAUUGUUACUGACGGCUGAUGAAAAUGGAAGACCGUACGCUGAUAGGUACAGAUUUCCAUCAGCUUGUGUCUGUUCGUACAAGAUAAUUAGCUCUAAUGUGUUUUUUACUUAAAGUUGGGGUAAGUUUCGUAAUUUAAAUUUUGUUUCACCUACUAACUCAUUUUUAGUAACUGCAGAGUAAUACAUUUACUUUGUGGAGAAGUGAACUGAGACGAUUUUAUCCCUGUAAUUAUCGCAGUAUUAGGUGGAAGAAAACGAUAGGUAUUAAUAGUAGAUAUGCUGUGCCGGUUCAGAUUCACUUCGUCUGCGCAUGCGCCAUUUCAGGGAUUCCCCCGACGCAAAAUAUGGGCAUCCCCUGAUGUUGUAGCUAUUUUUAGAUCAUGAUGUCAUGGCUAUUUUUGGAUCAUGACGUCAGGAUAAGAACUGCGCAUGCGUCACUUUGGGGAAUCCCACAUUGAAAAUUAUGUGAAUCCCCUGAUGUUGUAGCUAUUUUUAGAUCAUGAUGUCAUGGCUAUUUUUGGAUCAUGACGUCAGGAUAAGAACUGCGCAUGCGUCACUUUGGGGAAUCCCACAUUGAAAAUUAUGUGAAUCCCCUGAUGUUGUAGUUAUUUUUAGAUCAUGAUGUCAUGGCUAUUUUUGGAUCAUGACGUCAGGAUAAGAAAUGCGCAUGCGUCACUUUGGGGAAUCCCACAUUGAAAAUUAUGUGAAUCCCCUGAUGUUGUAGUUAUUUUUAGAUCAUGAUGUCAUGGCUAUUUUUGAAUCAUGACGUCAGGAUAAGAACUGCGCAUGCGUCACUUUGGGGAAUCCCACAUUGAAAAUUAUGUGAAUCCCCUGAUGUUGUAGCUAUUUUUAGAUGAUGAUGUCAUAGCUAUUUUUGGAUCAUGACGUCAGGAUGGAAAUCUCGUGGGGAAUCACACAUUGAAAAUUAUGGGAUUACCCUGCUGGCAUUGCAAUUUUUGGAUCAUGAUGUCAUGGCUGCAUUUAGAUUAUGACAUCAUAGAUAUUUCCGGAUUGAUGAGUCAUCAGUAUUGUUGUAUCAUGGAAUCCCUGACGUAAUUGCUUUUGUUGAAUUAUGAGAUGAGAUGGUUAUUUUAAGAUCAGUGAGUCACCAACAUCGUAGGACCAUGAUAUCAUGUCUAUUCUUGGAUCGAUGAAUCACCGCUAUUGUUUGUUGCAUAAUAAUAAUACCAUGGUUAUUUUUAGAUCAUGAUGUAAUAAUUCUAAGUAAAACAGCCCCUUACUCUUCACACCUCUUUCCCUCAUUUCUUCUAUAUAAACGAUGUAAUAAGCUUAAAAUUUAAUUCAGUUUAAUCACAUCUCCCGUACUAGUUACAUCAGUAUGAAUUAAAUAACAAAUUAUUAUUUUGUGAAGAAAACGAAAGUAUUCAAGAUGAGCAGUGUUGAAUUUAAAAAUUUAAACAAAGAUGUAGAAAUGGAGUCUUUUGUUAGCACUAAAAGUAUUAAAGUUGAUGAAAAGUUUUGUGUAAAGGCGUUUAAAAAAGUUGCAACAAAAUUUGGAACGAAAGUUAUGGUCGACUGCGAGGGAUUUUCGAGCAUAUUACCACAUCGAUUCACUGACCGUCUCAACGAUGAACAAAAUUGAAUACUGGAAUGAAAAAAUUAAAAGUGGAAAUAUUAAAUUAUUUAUGGUUAGUAAAGGUCCAAUGGGUAAUACAACGAAAAUAGAAUUUUUUGAGGAAUAAUUUUUUAUUUAGUAAAGGUAUAUUGUUUUAGUCUAUUUCAUGUAUAUGUAUA
Tribolium castaneum (red flour beetle) is the source of this 3583-nucleotide RNA transcript. RefSeq lists it as uncharacterized. NCBI's taxonomy places the organism in Eukaryota, Metazoa, Arthropoda, Insecta, Coleoptera, Tenebrionidae. The transcript has 5 exons. The record is from RefSeq and is a predicted model, not a curated record.